UAACUCCAGGAAACCGGGGCUAAUGCCGGAUAACAUUUAAAACCGCAUGGUUCUAAAGUGAAAGAUGGUUUUGCUAUCACUUAUAGAUGGACCCGCGCCGUAUUAGCUAGUUGGUAAGGUAAUGGCUUACCAAGGCAACGAUACGUACCCGACCUGAGAGGGUGAUCGGCCACACUGGAACUGAGACACGGUCCAGACUCCUACGGGAGGCAGCAGUAGGGAAUCUUCCGCAAUGGGCGAAAGCCUGACGGAGCAACGCCGCGUGAGUGAUGAAGGGUUUCGGCUCGUAAAACUCUGUUAUUAGGGAAGAACAAACGUGUAAGUAACUGUGCACGUCUUGACGGUACCUAAUCACAAAGCCACGGCUAACUACGUGCCAGCAGCCGCGGUAAUACGUAUGUGGCAAGCGUUAUCCGGAAUUAUUGGGCGUAGAGCGCGCGUAGGCGGUUUCUUACGUCUGAUGUGAAAGCCCACGGCUCAACCGUGGAGGGUCAUUGGAAACUGGGAGACUUGAGUGCAUAACACGACAGUGGAAUUCCAUGUGUAGCGGUGAA
Molecule: ribosomal RNA, 554 nt
Filed under: Staphylococcus arlettae
Lineage: Bacteria; Bacillati; Bacillota; Bacilli; Caryophanales; Staphylococcaceae
Description: bacterial SSU rRNA
Rfam family: Bacterial small subunit ribosomal RNA
Source: RNAcentral